This 253-nucleotide ribosomal RNA is filed under the name uncultured bacterium. Its description in RNAcentral is "partial 16S ribosomal RNA". It matches the Rfam family "Bacterial small subunit ribosomal RNA", at positions 524 to 776 of the family's 1533-position model. The record is from RNAcentral.
UACGGAGGGUGCAAGCGUUAUCCGGAUUCACUGGGUUUAAAGGGUGCGUAGGAGGGCAGGUAAGUCAGUGGUGAAAUCUCCGAGCUUAACUUGGAAACUGCCGUUGAUACUAUCUGUCUUGAAUAUUGUGGAGGUGAGCGGAAUAUGUCAUGUAGCGGUGAAAUGCUUAGAUAUGACAUAGAACACCAAUUGCGAAGGCAGCUCACUACGCGAAUAUUGACACUGAGGCACGAAAGCGUGGGGAUCAAACAGG